RNAcentral lists this ribosomal RNA (677 nucleotides) under Bacillus sp. FJAT-4725. RNAcentral's name for it is "bacterial SSU rRNA". It matches the Rfam family "Bacterial small subunit ribosomal RNA", at positions 60 to 719 of the family's 1533-position model. The record is from RNAcentral. Lineage: Bacteria; Bacillati; Bacillota; Bacilli; Caryophanales; Bacillaceae.
AGUCGAGCGACUGAUUAGAAGCUUGCUUCUAUGACGUUAGCGGCGGACGGGUGAGUAACACGUGGGCAACCUGCCUGUAAGACUGGGAUAACUUCGGGAAACCGAAGCUAAUACCGGAUAGGAUCUUCUCCUUCAUGGGAGAUGAUUGAAAGAUGGUUUCGGCUAUCACUUACAGAUGGGCCCGCGGUGCAUUAGCUAGUUGGUGAGGUAACGGCUCACCAAGGCAACGAUGCAUAGCCGACCUGAGAGGGUGAUCGGCCACACUGGGACUGAGACACGGCCCAGACUCCUACGGGAGGCAGCAGUAGGGAAUCUUCCGCAAUGGACGAAAGUCUGACGGAGCAACGCCGCGUGAGUGAUGAAGGCUUUCGGGUCGUAAAACUCUGUUGUUAGGGAAGAACAAGUACGAGAGUAACUGCUCGUACCUUGACGGUACCUAACCAGAAAGCCACGGCUAACUACGUGCCAGCAGCCGCGGUAAUACGUAGGUGGCAAGCGUUAUCCGGAAUUAUUGGGCGUAAAGCGCGCGCAGGCGGUUUCUUAAGUCUGAUGUGAAAGCCCACGGCUCAACCGUGGAGGGUCAUUGGAAACUGGGGAACUUGAGUGCAGAAGAGAAAAGCGGAAUUCCACGUGUAGCGGUGAAAUGCGUAGAGAUGUGGAGGAACACCAGUGGCGAA